This 270-nucleotide unclassified non-coding RNA is filed under the name uncultured fungus. Its description in RNAcentral is "sequence contains ITS2". The stretch from base 1 to 52 matches the Rfam family "5.8S ribosomal RNA", at positions 103 to 154 of the family's 154-position model. The record is from RNAcentral. Lineage: Eukaryota; Fungi.
AACGCAUAUUGCGCCCUCUGGUAUUCCGGGGGGCAUGCCUGUUCGAGCGUCAUUUUUCACCACUCAAGCAAAGUUUGCUUGGUCAUGGGUCUCGUCUCCUUCCCCCCUGAGGGAGAGGCGUACCUGAAAGUUAGCGGCGGUGCAGCUGGUCCUCGAGCGCAUUAACAUACAUCGCUACGGGGGGGCUUCCAGGCCUGCUCCAGCCGGAUUGAUUUCAAAAUUUUUCCAAUGAUUGACCUCGGAUCAGGUAGGGAUACCCGCUGAACUUAA